UUUCGAAUCAUUCACAAUGGGGGAAACCCUGAUGGUGCAACGCCGCGUGGGGGAUGACGGCCUUGGUUGUAAACCCUGUCACCAAGGACUAAACGUGCGGUUCAUAGCCGUACCUGAAUUAACUUGGAGAGGA
This 133-nucleotide ribosomal RNA is filed under the name uncultured bacterium. Its description in RNAcentral is "partial 16S ribosomal RNA". It matches the Rfam family "Bacterial small subunit ribosomal RNA", at positions 355 to 488 of the family's 1533-position model. The record is from RNAcentral.